ACAGCAGUAGCCGCGGGAAAACGAAGGGGGCUAGCGUUGUUCGGAAUUACUGGGCGUAAAGCGCACGCAGGCGGCUCGAUAAAUUAGAAGUGAAAGCCUUGGGCUUAACCUGAGAAUUGCUUUUAAGACUGUCGAGCUAGAAUCCAGAAGAGGGUAGUGGAAUUCCGAGUGUAGAGGUGAAAUUCGUAGAUAUUCGGAAGAACACCAGUGGCGAAGGCGACUACCUGGUCUGGCAUUGACGCUCAUGUGCGAAAGCGUGGGGAGCAAACAGGAUUAGAUACCCCUGUAGUCCCUGUCUCUUAUAC
RNAcentral lists this ribosomal RNA (305 nucleotides) under uncultured bacterium. RNAcentral's name for it is "partial 16S ribosomal RNA". It matches the Rfam family "Bacterial small subunit ribosomal RNA", at positions 508 to 807 of the family's 1533-position model. The record is from RNAcentral.